UUAUAUAGUUGUUAAAAACAUGAUUCUGAGGGGAAUUUCCUUGUGUUUUUAUCUACACUUUGAAUUGGACCCAGUACACAAAGCUACUUUCUACAUAAAUAUGAGCUUCAGUUGUGUUGUUUAUAAGCUAAUGUUUGCAUGGAUAGUAAUUUGAUUAGUGAUUAUGAGUUGUCAAAGAUCUUGUGUGCAUUUCUUUGGUUUAUGGUUUUCAACUUAUUCAAUGAUGCAGGCUUCCAUUGAUUUCCAGCAGUUUUGUUCAUGGUUAUUGAACACCACGAUUUCUUUAAUAUGUGGUGUUUUUGUUAUUUUUAUUGAUUAUUGACACCAAAUUCUGAAAACUGUUUGUGUUUCUUCAUCAUGAUUAACUGCAAGACAGCUUCUUUGGAAAAAUAAAUUUAACCGUUCAAAUGACAUCUUUGCUUGUACAUUGCAAG
Molecule: unclassified non-coding RNA, 434 nt
Filed under: Hevea brasiliensis (rubber tree)
Lineage: Eukaryota; Viridiplantae; Streptophyta; Magnoliopsida; Malpighiales; Euphorbiaceae
Source: RNAcentral